Molecule: ribosomal RNA, 434 nt
Filed under: uncultured bacterium
Lineage: Bacteria
Description: partial 16S ribosomal RNA
Rfam family: Bacterial small subunit ribosomal RNA
Source: RNAcentral
AGCGAACGCUGGCGGCAGGCCUAACACAUGCAAGUCGAACGAACCUUUCGGGGUUAGUGGCGGACGGGUGAGUAACACGUGGGAACGUGCCUUUAGGUUCGGAAUAACUCAGGGAAACUUGUGCUAAUACCGAAUGUGCCCUUCGGGGGAAAGAUUUAUCGCCUUUAGAGCGGCCCGCGUCUGAUUAGCUAGUUGGUUGAGGUAAUGGCUCACCAAGGCGACGAUCAGUAGCUGGGCUGAGAGGAUGAUCAGCCACAUUGGGACUGAGACACGGCCCAAACUCCUACGGGAGGCAGCAGUGGGGAAUCUUGCGCAAUGGGCGAAAGCCUGACGCAGCCAUGCCGCGUGAAUGAUGAAGGUCUUAGGAUUGUAAAAUUCUUUUACCGGGGACGAUAAUGACGGUACCCGGAGAAGAAGCCCCGGCUAACUUCGUG